Long non-coding RNA from Carassius auratus (goldfish), 1124 nucleotides. RefSeq lists it as uncharacterized. Lineage: Eukaryota; Metazoa; Chordata; Actinopteri; Cypriniformes; Cyprinidae. The record is from RefSeq and is a predicted model, not a curated record. The transcript is spliced from 4 exons.
CGUACCCAGACAGCACAUGUACGUCUGGCCGACGUCGGCCCAAUAUCGAAACGUCGGCCUCUACACCUAAAACAUCUAUAAAACAUCGGCCUGGCGGAGGCCGAUAUAAUUUGGUCAGUGCUCUGUUCUCCAGCUCAUCAAUCGUCGGCCCUGAGCUGGUUCACGACCGCGGGCCGAUGCCGCGCUUCUCUGUGUGCGCGUGCCCAGUGUUCGUCUCUUUUAGCCACCCAGAGAGAGAGAAGAGGAUAAUCCCAGCGACAUCUGUGGCUCUGAGGUAACGUUACGAUUUCACUUCAGCUCAAUUAGACAAAAAAUACUACUUUGUUAAUUUUGUGACACUGAAAAAGUACUAGUAAUACAGUCUAUGGGCAGCUGAAGAGUCUGGCUUAUUUUCAAAUAAUGUUACCGUUAACUUUUUGAGCCAACGGUCACGGUAGCGAUUUUUUUUAACAUUAAUGUUAACGCCUUAAUGCGUUUUCAGAAGUUUCUCGGAGGGAAAAUGUAAAAGCGGGUUAUUAAAGAGAAGUCCUGACUGCUUUUUCACCGUGUUUUUCACUCUUUUACAGGCUUUCAGAAAUAAUCCGGUGAAAUAAUAUGAUGUUUGUGUAAAUGCUGUGUGUGCGUUAAGUCCUGCGCGAACGGGGAGCAGAGUUGCCAUGGAAACGGGGCGUCAACACAAAAACCGUUACUGGCAAGCAGUAAUCUCCGUCUCUCGCUGCAGUUUACACUGUUUUGGAAACGGUUUAGUGUCUUCGGAAAAGUCCGUUAUCAUUUUAGCAGUUUUCAGGUAGGCUAACUAACAUAUAGAUUGAGCUCUUGUUGAUGAAACUCUGGGCUUUUAAUCAAAUCUUCGAUUUGAUUAAAACAAAAUGAUUUUUAAAUUAAUUAUUGAAUGAUUAUUGAAUGAGACUUUACUUUAUAAAUGUAAUGUUUUAACUCUAGAUGUUUGUUUGUGUGAAUGCUGUGUGUGCGUUGAGUCCUGCGCUAGCAGGGAGCAGAGUUGCCAUGGAAACGGGGCAUCAACACAAAAACCGUUACUGGCAAGCAGUAAUCUCCGUCUCUCCCUGCAGUUUACACUGUUUUGGGAGGACAGAAAGAAACUCUACAGAACAGAAGUGAAGCUC